RNAcentral lists this ribosomal RNA (253 nucleotides) under uncultured bacterium. RNAcentral describes it as "partial 16S ribosomal RNA". It matches the Rfam family "Bacterial small subunit ribosomal RNA", at positions 524 to 776 of the family's 1533-position model. The record is from RNAcentral.
UACGGAGGGUGCAAGCGUUGUUCGGAAUUACUGGGCGUAAAGGGCGCGUAGGUGGCUAAUUAAGUCAGGUGUGAAAUCCUUCCGCUUAACGGGAGAAGUGCACUUGAAACUGCUUAGCUAGAGUACGGGAGAGGAAGGUGGAAUUCCUGGUGUAGAGGUGAAAUUCAUAGAUAUCGGGAAGAACACCGGUGGCGAAGGCGGCCUUCUGGCCCGUUACUGACGCUGAGGCGCGAAAGCGUGGGGAGCAAACAGG